This 254-nucleotide ribosomal RNA is filed under the name uncultured bacterium. Its description in RNAcentral is "partial 16S ribosomal RNA". It matches the Rfam family "Bacterial small subunit ribosomal RNA", at positions 524 to 776 of the family's 1533-position model. The record is from RNAcentral.
GACGUAGGGGGCAAGCGUUGUUCGGAAUUAUUGGGCGUAAAGCGCUCGUAGGCGGGACUGGAAGUCCGUGUUGAAAGACCUCGGCUCAACUGAGGGACCGGCUCGGAUACUCUAGUUCUUGAGGCAAUCAGAGGGUGAUGGAAUUCCCCGGUGUAGCGGUGAAAUGCGUAGAUAUCGGGAGGAACACCAGUGGCGAAGGCGAUCACCUGGGGUUGUUCUGACGCUGAGGAGCGAAAGCUAGGGGAGCAAACGGG